GAUGAACGCUGGCGGCGUGCCUAAUACAUGCAAGUCGAGCGAACGGACGAGAAGCUUGCUUCUCUGAUGUUAGCGGCGGACGGGUGAGUAACACGUGGAUAACCUACCUAUAAGACUGGGAUAACUUCGGGAAACCGGAGCUAAUACCGGAUGAUAUUUUGAACCGCAUGGUUCAAAAGUGAAAGACGGUCUUGCUGUCACUUAUAGAUGGAUCCGCGCUGCAUUAGCUAGUUGGUAAGGUAACGGCUUACCAAGGCAACGAUGCAUAGCCGACCUGAGAGGGUGAUCGGCCACACUGGAACUGAGACACGGUCCAGACUCCUACGGGAGGCAGCAGUAGGGAAUCUUCCGCAAUGGGCGAAAGCCUGAAGGAGCAACGCCGCGUGAGUGAUGAAGGUCUUCGGAUCGUAAAACUCUGUUAUUAGGGAAGAACAUAUGUGUAAGUAACUGUGCACAUCUUGACGGUACCUAAUCAGAAAGCCACGGCUAACUACGU
Molecule: ribosomal RNA, 496 nt
Filed under: uncultured bacterium
Lineage: Bacteria
Description: partial 16S ribosomal RNA
Rfam family: Bacterial small subunit ribosomal RNA
Source: RNAcentral